Molecule: unclassified non-coding RNA, 221 nt
Filed under: uncultured fungus
Lineage: Eukaryota; Fungi
Also listed under: 1 other name
Description: sequence contains ITS1, 5.8S rRNA gene
Source: RNAcentral
CUGAAGUGAUUUGGGGAUGUUGCUGGCCUCUUCUUUUUUGAGGGGCAAUGUGCACUCCCUGAACAAUUCACAAUUUCCAUCACACCCUUGUGCACAUUUUGUAGGCGCCCACUCACCUCUCUUGGUUGGGGCGUCCUAUGUAUUCCUUCAUCUCACACUUUAUUGAAUGGUGCUCUUGAACGCAUCUCAUGGAUUAUUUGUAAAAAAAGUAAUCACAGAAA